GUGCGACCUCCGCCGAGUCCGGUACGCCCCACGGCAUCCGGAGCCGGGGACCCGAUCGGCAUCGGGGUGAAUCGGCUUUCCCGUCCCUUCGGACGGGGGCCGCGGGGCACGCCUCCACAGAACGUCCGUCCGAACCCGGCAGCUGACUCGGCGGGCGGCCUAGUGGUAAGGA
RNAcentral lists this small RNA (172 nucleotides) under Streptomyces sp. Its description in RNAcentral is "c-di-AMP sequence". It matches the Rfam family "c-di-AMP riboswitch aptamer (ydaO/yuaA leader)". From Rfam's summary of the family: This family represents a conserved RNA structure found upstream of the ydaO and yuaA genes in Bacillus subtilis and related genes in other bacteria. The ydaO/yuaA element is thought to act as a genetic "off" switch for the ydaO and yuaA genes in its native state. RNAcentral also lists the same sequence under 1 other name. The record is from RNAcentral. Lineage: Bacteria; Bacillati; Actinomycetota; Actinomycetes; Kitasatosporales; Streptomycetaceae.